AUUGAACGCUGGCGGCAGGCCUAACACAUGCAAGUCGCACGAGUGGCGGACGGGUGAGUAAUGUCUGGGAACCUGCCUGAUGGAGGGGGAUAACUACUGGAAACGGUAGCUAAUACCGCAUACCAUCAUAUGUGCCCAGAUGGGAUUGGCUAGUUGGUGGUGUAACGGGUCACCAAGGCGACGAUCCCUAGCUGGUCUGAGUGGAUGACCAGCCAGACUGGAACUGAGAAACGGUCCAGACGCCUACGGGGGGCAGCGGUGGGGAAUAUUGCACAAUGGGGGCAAGCGUGAUGCAGCCAUGCCGCGUGUAUGAAGAAGGCCUUCGGGUUGUAAAGUACUGUCAGCGGGGAGGCGGUACCCGCAGAAGAAGCACCGGCUAACUCCGUGCCAGCAGCCGCGGUAAUUC
This 406-nucleotide ribosomal RNA is filed under the name uncultured bacterium. Its description in RNAcentral is "partial 16S ribosomal RNA". It matches the Rfam family "Bacterial small subunit ribosomal RNA", at positions 30 to 526 of the family's 1533-position model. The record is from RNAcentral.